Long non-coding RNA from Rosa chinensis, 251 nucleotides. RefSeq lists it as uncharacterized. The transcript has 3 exons. The record is from RefSeq and is a predicted model, not a curated record. Lineage: Eukaryota; Viridiplantae; Streptophyta; Magnoliopsida; Rosales; Rosaceae.
UCAGGUAACUGGGGUAGGGAAAUUUACUGAAUUGGGAAGGCUCAGGGCUAGCGCCGAUUCAAAAGACACGGAGAAACGGAAGAAUAAAACCCACUUGCAGGUGCUUUUAAAGGAGGUUGCUACCUUCAUGGGUGCUGUCGGAUUCAUGGUUGCUGCCAUUGUUGCAUAUGUUGUUUGGAUCAGAGGCUUCUUUACUGGUGAUAGUUCAAAUGGAAGUAGUGAACCUGGAAGUACACUUGAAGAAGCCAUUC